Molecule: transfer RNA, 68 nt
Filed under: Dryocoetes villosus
Lineage: Eukaryota; Metazoa; Arthropoda; Insecta; Coleoptera; Curculionidae
Description: tRNA-Leu
Source: RNAcentral
GUUAUUUUGGCAGAUUAGUGCCAUAGACUUAGAAUCUUUAUAAGUAGAAUUAUAUACUACAGGUAAUA